Long non-coding RNA from Cyprinus carpio carpio, 1489 nucleotides. Lineage: Eukaryota; Metazoa; Chordata; Actinopteri; Cypriniformes; Cyprinidae. The record is from Ensembl.
AGACAGACAGACAGACAGGUUUGAUCUCUUUAUGGUCCGUGUUUCCGGCUGUUCGGAGCGUGUCCUGCAGGAGGCGCCGCUGCUCCAGGCUCGCGCGCCGGAAGUGAGUUUGAGUUGAGUUGAGUUUGCAGAAGUUCUGACUCACUGGAGUUCAGAAAGGCAUUAGAUUCUCCCUCCUGCACUUUAAACUCUCCCGCAGCACAUGCAGAAAUACAGCAACGAGCACGUGUUGUACUGACGGGUAUAUCACGAUACUGAAGACGAGCACAGGUGAGCAGACACUACAGUCUGAAUCUCACCUCAUGCGGCUGGAAAGGAAAGGUCUCAUGUCUAAAUCUGGCAGACGAACACAAUGAAGCGCUAAACGCCCGUCAAACUGACUCACUGACAUUUCACAGCAUCACUGUCAUCUGCCAAUCACAGCGAGAGGAGGAGGAUGAAUAUUCAUGAGGACACGCCCCCUGGGAUAAACCGGUGCUCUGUUCAGCAUGACAGCGUGAGUCUGCAGUAACGUAAGAAUCUGACACACAUUAAGAGAUGUGAAUGAGAAGCUGUAUCUUCACAGGUAUCAGAGAUGACAGAUAACUCUCUGGGCUCUUCUGCAUUCAUAUAUGUGUAUUUAUAGUCUCUUGUUGACAUUAUAAUGUAACUAAAUGAUAUGAUACAUAUACAAGAGUCUGUUGGACGUAACGCCUCACUCUACAACUCAUUUAAAUACCAAGAUGACUCGAUGCAGACCAUAUAUCUGAUAUGAGCAUGCAGGGAUUCAUGGGAAAUGUGAAGAUUCGGUCCUGAACCCUUCCUCCUCAGCGCUUGAGUCACUUCUCCUUCAGCAGUGUGUGUUACUAGGGCGUUUUCAGGUCGUAGUAUGUUGCUAUGCUGUCACUAGGGUGUUUUGGGUGGUUAAUGUGUUGCUGUGCAGUUUCUAGCAUGUUUUAAACAAUCGUUCAUUCAUUUGUGGGUUUUACUGAUUUAGUCAUUUGUGUAUUUAUUUAUUCAUUCAUUCAUUUGUUUGUUUUUGUUUUUAAUUAGUUAAGUCAUUCCUUCAUUCAUUAUUCUUUUGUUUGUUCACUUAUUUGUUCAUUAGUUCAUUAAUUUGUUUGUUCGUUCUUUCAUGUGUUCAUUCAUGCAUUCAUGCCUACAGUUUAAUUCACGUAGAAGCAGAUUGUCUAAAUAAGCGUAAACUCUUGAAAGCAUCAUGUGACUCAGAGUCGCUUGAGCAGAUUGAAUCUGAUCCUGCGGAUGAACGAACACACACAUCCAUCAUCAUUUACUCCCUCAUGUCAUUCAGACCUUUAUUAAGAUAUAUUGAUUAAUGUCUCAGGUUUUUUUUUUUUGAAGCUUCAGUGUUGUUUGGUUCCCAGCAGUCUUCAGAACAUCUGCUUCAGUUUUCCGCUGAAGAAAGAGAGUCAUCACGAAGCCAAGUGGAUGAUGACAGAACAAUCAGUUUUGAGUGAACGAUUCCUUCAGGACUCAUCUGAGUUUAGAG